Delphinapterus leucas (beluga whale) is the source of this 577-nucleotide non-coding RNA. The record is from RefSeq and is a predicted model, not a curated record. NCBI's taxonomy places the organism in Eukaryota, Metazoa, Chordata, Mammalia, Artiodactyla, Monodontidae.
UAAAGUGAAAGUAGUUUUCCACCAGAGAAGAGAGAGAGGCCUUCCAGUCGGGGGACAGCGUGUGCGAAUUCACAGAGGAAGGAAACAGCUGACUCUGACUCAGUCCAUAAAAUAAUGAUGUGUCUUACAUACGUGGCAUCUUGGACCUGAGGAAAUACAGCCAUGCUUACCCAGUGUGAGGCACUGUCCAUUUCAAUCUCACAAUGACCCUGUGAGGGACCUUGGGCCAAUCACAUUCUGAGCCACCUGUGUAACAAGGGCGAUGGCACCCACCUAAGGAGGUUGUGAGGAUUCAUCUCAAAUGAAUGAGAUGCUGCACGUAAAGCCUGAUACCCGGCACACAACAAGAACUCAAUAAAGGUUUUCCUGUAUUCUUUUUAGUCUGAACAACAAAACGAUGAAAGAUAUUCAAAGUACGGUCCCAAGGCUGGCCUUCCUGGUGAGUGUUUUUUAAUAACUCUUUUUAUAUCUUUCUCUCUUUACAUCACCACCCCCACUUCCCCACCCAAAUGAAGUUUUUAAUGAAGAUAGCACACCACUGAGUCUCAAGUUGAGACCCGAAGUAUCCAAACUUAGU